RNAcentral lists this ribosomal RNA (250 nucleotides) under uncultured bacterium. RNAcentral describes it as "partial 16S ribosomal RNA". It matches the Rfam family "Bacterial small subunit ribosomal RNA", at positions 524 to 773 of the family's 1533-position model. The record is from RNAcentral.
UACGGAGGUUCCUAGCGUUGUUCGGAAUUACUGGGCGUAAAGGGAGCGCAGGCGGACCGUUAAGUCUAAAGUGGAAUCCCGGGGCUCAACCUCGGACGUGCUUUGGAUACUGGCGGUCUUGAGUUCGAGAGAGGAAAGCGGAAUUCAGGGUGUAGCGGUGAAAUGCUUAGAUAUCCUGAGGAACACCAGUGGCGAAAGCGGCUUUCUGGCUCGAAACUGACGCUGAGGCUCGAAAGCGUGGGGAGCGAAC